CCCUUAGAUGUUCUGGGCCGCACGCGCGCUACACUGACGAAUGCAACGAGCUUAUAACCUUGGCCGAAAGGUCUGGGUAAUCUCCAAAUUUCGUCGUGAUGGGGAUAGAUUAUUGCAAUUAUUAAUCUUCAACGAGGAAUGCCUAGUAAGCGCAAGUCAUCAGCUUGCGUUGAUUACGUCCCUGCCCUUUGUACACACCGCCCGUCGCUCCUACCGAUUGAAUGGUCCGGUGAAAUCCUCGGAUCGAGCCGUGGGGCAACUCCGGUUCGAGAAGUUGAUUAAACCUUACCAUUUAGAGGAAGGUGAAGUCGUAACA
RNAcentral lists this ribosomal RNA (316 nucleotides) under uncultured eukaryote. RNAcentral describes it as "partial 18S ribosomal RNA". It matches the Rfam family "Eukaryotic small subunit ribosomal RNA", at positions 1470 to 1796 of the family's 1831-position model. The record is from RNAcentral.